Passer domesticus (house sparrow) is the source of this 864-nucleotide long non-coding RNA. RefSeq lists it as uncharacterized. The transcript has 3 exons. Lineage: Eukaryota; Metazoa; Chordata; Aves; Passeriformes; Passeridae. The record is from RefSeq and is a predicted model, not a curated record.
GUCUUCAGCCUCAUUUGGUGCUUAUUAGAUUGAUAUUCUAAGAGGAAUUGUACAACAUAAAACAUGUCCUUUAACAGGAUGAACUUUAUAUAAGACUUUAGGUACUGGAAGGUGCUAUAAGUUCUCCCAGGAGCCUUCCCUUCUCCAGCCUGAACAACUCCAACUUUCUCAACCAGUUUCCCCAGGAGAAGUUGAGCAGCUCUUCCAGAUUGAAGACUCCUUUUCAUCUGGUGAACUGGUGCCAGGAAGAAAAGACAGCAGAGCAACAAAUUCUCAGCUGUUGUAACUGUCUCCUGUUCUGAUAUUGCCAUUUCCUAGUUUCAUUUUCUAGGCCUGUUCAAAAGGGAGUUGUCAUCACUGCCAUUUGAGAAUGCUGUCUGGAACCUACAACGAUUCUGUGUGCAAAAAAAGUGAAACAAAGGAAUAAUCUGAGCAGAUUUAGUGGUCACGUUGAAGUGGUGUAACUUCUCAAAUCUAAAGCUUGGCCAAAUGGCAGAUGUUUCUUUACAAGUGGGCACAGAAGGCAUUUUCUCAACACACAGCCCAUAUUGAAAAAUAAGAAAAAUUGCAAUGAUUGGUGUUUUGCAGUUUCAUCCCUUUCAUCAUUUUUCUCCCUUGUCUCAGCAAACUCAGCAUUAAUUUCUUCCUGUCUUUCUGAGUGGUCCUAGCCACUAGGAAGAGUAGCCAAGUUAAAAUAAAAAGAUGAAGCCAGAAGUAAGAGCAUGUGCCUGUGUAUCAGUAGGGGCUCUCAUCCCACCUUACCUGUACAGGGUCAGAUGCUCUCAGCUACACCCAUUUAGGACACUGUAGAGACAUGUGGGUAUUUUGUUAUUUCCCAGAUCAUUGUUAUUCUCAGCUCACAUG